RNAcentral lists this small RNA (1059 nucleotides) under Histoplasma capsulatum var. duboisii H88. Its description in RNAcentral is "Histoplasma capsulatum H88 hypothetical RNA". Lineage: Eukaryota; Fungi; Ascomycota; Eurotiomycetes; Onygenales; Ajellomycetaceae. The record is from RNAcentral.
AUCCUUUUUCCCCGAGCCUCCACCCUUCCACCGCUCAUCUCCCCGAUCUCCUUUCUUCUUAGACAAGUCCACUACACCUUCAACCCCAAUCCAUACAAACCGAGAGAUAACCCAGGACACCACCGCAAGAAUAAGAAUGUACGCGGCAGUAGGCAACAACGAUCUCGGAAACACAUUAAAAAUGAAAGGGUCGAGAAUGAUAUCAACAUGCACUGGGGGCACAUUCUCCAUUAGACCCUUGUCUACUGUGAAGUAAUCAGCGGCGGCAUGGACUUGCAGAAAUAAGGCGGAGGUGGGAGUUCUGUUACGAGCGUUCCGGCUUCCCGAGCUGCCGAGUUUGGGCGGGAGGGCGAAAGGGUUGUUGGAUUGGUGCUCGUGGCUUUGUUGGUAGUCUCGGUGAAGCCGUCCGAGGAGGGUUGGGAAGUGUGAUGUUGAAAAUGUUGUUAGACUGGAGAUUAAGGAAGGCGAGUCAAGGAUUUCGGAAACGGUGAGGGUUGUAACAGUGAAGGAUGUUGGUUGCUUGAGUUCAAUUCAAAUUUUCAGUUUUAGUUGUUGGUUCAUGAGUUCGAGGUGAUUGAGGGGUUUGCAGGAACGAAAGGAACAAGGUUUCAAAGAGUCAAGAUAAAACCAGCUUUCAAACCCUUUGGGAGAUUCUUCCGACGGAAAUGAAGCUGCGAUAUAUGUUCUGGUGGAUGGCGUCUUUGGGGAUAAUCGCUCUAUCUCCAAGUCAUCGAACAUGGCCUGAUGUGAUUGUAGCAGGCUAUGUUUGGGUGCCUUGAAUAUGGUCUUCUCCACAUUGGCAGAAACAGCAAUGACCAGAAAAAGAAGUGGGCCUAAGUAAAGAAGUGACCUCAUGGCUUUUUGGAGGAUCACUCACGAAUGACGCUCAGAUGUCGAGCGCAUAAACACUUGGAUUUUGAUAGAUUGUAGUUCACGAAGGAGACAAAACAAAUCAUUCUGCCAUUUCCGGAUGAUAUGAGCAACUUUGGUGCCCUGCGAAGCAUAGUUAGCCAGUGAAGCAUAGGUAUUGGAGUGUUAAAAAAGCCUAUCUAACGAGGC